UACGAAGGGUGCAAGCGUUACUCGGAAUUACUGGGCGUAAAGCGUGCGUAGGUGGUUCGUUAAGUCUGUCGUGAAAGCCCCGGGCUCAACCUGGGAAUGGCGAAUGGAUACUGGCGAGCUAGAGUGCGGUAGAGGAGAGUGGAAUUCCCGGUGUAGCAGUGAAAUGCGUAGAGAUCGGGAGGAACAUCAGUUGCGAAGGCG
RNAcentral lists this ribosomal RNA (201 nucleotides) under uncultured bacterium. RNAcentral's name for it is "partial 16S ribosomal RNA". It matches the Rfam family "Bacterial small subunit ribosomal RNA", at positions 524 to 723 of the family's 1533-position model. The record is from RNAcentral.